CCUACGGGUGGCAGCAGUGGGGAAUAUUGCACAAUGGGGGAAACCCUGAUGCAGCGACGCCGCGUGAGUGAAGAAGUAUUUCGGUACGUAAAGCUCUAUCAGCAGGGAAGAAAAAAAGUCCUUUGGACUUUGGACGGUACCUGACCAAGAAGCCCCGGCUAACUACGUGCCAGCAGCCGCGGUAAUACGUAGGGGGCAAGCGUUAUCCGGAUUUACUGGGUGUAAAGGGAGCGUAGACGGCAAGGCAAGUCUGGAGUGAAAGCCCGUGGCCCAACCACGGGACUGCUUUGGAAACUGUGUUGCUGGAGUGCAGGAGGGGUAAGCGGAAUUCCUAGUGUAGCGGUGAAAUGCGUAGAUAUUAGGAGGAACACCGGUGGCGAAGGCGGCUUACUGGACUGUAACUGACGUUGAGGCUCGAAGGCGUGGGGAGCAAACAGGAUUAGAUACCCCAGUAGUC
Molecule: ribosomal RNA, 457 nt
Filed under: uncultured bacterium
Lineage: Bacteria
Description: partial 16S ribosomal RNA
Rfam family: Bacterial small subunit ribosomal RNA
Source: RNAcentral